AUUGAACGCUGGCGGCAGGCCUAACACAUGCAAGUCGAGCGAGCGGCGGACAGGUGAGUAAUGUCUGGGAAACUGCCUGAUGGAGGGGGAUAACUCCUGGAAACGGUAGCGAAUACCGCAUACCAUCAGAUGUGCCCACAUGGGAUUAGCGAGUAGUGGGGGUAACAGCUCACCUAGGCGACGAUCCCUAGCUGGUCUGAUAGGAUGACCAGCCACACUGGAACUGAGACAAGGUCCAGACUCCUACGGGAGGCAGCAGUGGGGAAUAUUGCACAAUGGGCGCAAGCCUGAUGCAGCCAUGCCGCGUGUAGGAAGAAGGCCUUCGGGUUGUAAAGUACUUUCAGCGAGGAGGCGUUACCCGCAGAAGAAGCACCGGCUAACUCCGUGCCAGCCGCCGCGGUAAUUC
This 406-nucleotide ribosomal RNA is filed under the name uncultured bacterium. RNAcentral's name for it is "partial 16S ribosomal RNA". It matches the Rfam family "Bacterial small subunit ribosomal RNA", at positions 30 to 526 of the family's 1533-position model. The record is from RNAcentral.